RNAcentral lists this ribosomal RNA (510 nucleotides) under uncultured Derxia sp. Its description in RNAcentral is "bacterial SSU rRNA". It matches the Rfam family "Bacterial small subunit ribosomal RNA", at positions 521 to 1029 of the family's 1533-position model. Lineage: Bacteria; Pseudomonadati; Pseudomonadota; Betaproteobacteria; Burkholderiales; Alcaligenaceae. The record is from RNAcentral.
UAAUACGUAGGGUGCAAGCGUUAAUCGGAAUUACUGGGCGUAAAGCGUGCGCAGGCGGUUUUGUAAGACAGAUGUGAAAGCCCCGGGCUCAACCUGGGAAGUGCAUUUGUGACUGCAAGACUAGAGUGUGUCAGAGGGGGGUGGAAUUCCACGUGUAGCAGUGAAAUGCGUAGAGAUGUGGAGGAACACCGAUGGCGAAGGCAGCCCCCUGGGAUAACACUGACGCUCAUGCACGAAAGCGUGGGGAGCAAACAGGAUUAGAUACCCUGGUAGUCCACGCCCUAAACGAUGUCUACUAGUUGUCGGGGAUUCGUUUCCUUGGUAACGCAGCUAACGCGUGAAGUAGACCGCCUGGGGAGUACGGCCGCAAGGUUAAAACUCAAAGGAAUCGACGGGGACCCGCACAAGCGGUGGAUGAUGUGGAUUAAUUCGAUGCAACGCGAAAAACCUUACCUACGCUUGACAUGCCAGAGACCCUGCAGAGAUGUGGGGGUGCCCGAAAGGGAAUCU